This is a small nucleolar RNA of Alosa alosa (allis shad), 82 nucleotides long. RefSeq annotates it as small nucleolar RNA SNORD53/SNORD92. Lineage: Eukaryota; Metazoa; Chordata; Actinopteri; Clupeiformes; Clupeidae. The record is from RefSeq and is a predicted model, not a curated record. The transcript has a single exon.
UCAAAAUGAUGAUGCCUGAGAAUGGUUUCGCUUUGUGGGCUGAUUUCCGUUGAUGACACAAUUCUCUUGGCUAUCUGAUUAG